AGCUAACGCGAUAAGUGUACCGCCUGGGGAAGUACGGUCGCAAGACUAAAACUCAAAGGAAUUGACGGGGGCCCGCACAAGCGGUGGAGCAUGUGGCUUAAUUCGAGGCAACGCGAAGAACCUUACCCGGGUUUGACAUUGAGCGACGUUCGGUGAAAGUCGAAUUCCCUUCGGGGCGCAAAAACAGGUGCUGCAUGGCUGUCGUCAGCUCGUGCUGUGAAGUGUUCGGUUAAGUCCGGCAACGAGCGCAACCCAUAUCCUUACUUGCUAACAGGUAAUGCUGAGAACCUUAAGGAGACUGCCCGUGUUAAGCGGGAGGAAGGUGUGGACGACGUCAAGUCAGUAUGGCCCUUACACCCGGGGCUGCACACGUGCUACAAUGGCCGGUACAAAGGGCAGCGACAUAGUGAUAUGGAGCGAAUCCCCAAAACCGGUCUCAGUACGGAUUGGAGUCUGCAACUCGACUCCAUGAAGAUGGAAUCGCUAGUAAAUGGGCAUCAGCUACGGCUCAUUGAAUACGUUCCCGGGCCUUGUACACACCGCCCGUCACAUCAUGGGAGCUGAGUUCACCCGAAGUCGUUGCGCCAACCUGCUUGCAGGAGGCAGACGCCGAAGGUGGGCUUAGUGACUGGGAUGAAGUCGUAACAAGGUAGCCGUUGGGGAACCAGCGGCUGGAUCACCUCCUUU
This 687-nucleotide non-coding RNA is filed under the name Lentisphaera araneosa HTCC2155. RNAcentral describes it as "Bacterial small subunit ribosomal RNA". It matches the Rfam family "Bacterial small subunit ribosomal RNA", at positions 850 to 1533 of the family's 1533-position model. Lineage: Bacteria; Pseudomonadati; Lentisphaerota; Lentisphaeria; Lentisphaerales; Lentisphaeraceae. The record is from Rfam by way of RNAcentral.